CCUACGUGAGGCAGCAGUGGGGAAUAUUGCACAAUGGGGGGAACCCUGAUGCAGCGACGCCGCGUGAGUGAAGAAGUAUUUCGGUAUUUAAAGCUCUAUCAGCAGGGAAGAAAAUGAUGGUACCUGACUAAGAAGCCCCGGCUAACUACGUGCCAGCAGCCGCGGUAAUACGGAGGGGUCAAGCGUUAUCCGGAUUUACUGGGUGUAGAGGGAGCGCAGACGGCUGUGCAAGUCUGGAGUGAAAGGCGGGGGCCCAACCCCCGGACUGCUCUGGAAACUGUAAAGCUGGAGUGCAGGAGAGGUAAGCGGAAUUCCUAGUGUAGCGGUGAAAUGCGUAGAUAUUAGGAGGAACACCAGUGGCGAAGGCGGCUUACUGGACUGCAACUGACGUUGAGGCUCGAAAGCGUGGGGAGCAAACGGGAUUAGAUACCCUGGUAGUC
RNAcentral lists this ribosomal RNA (440 nucleotides) under uncultured bacterium. RNAcentral's name for it is "partial 16S ribosomal RNA". It matches the Rfam family "Bacterial small subunit ribosomal RNA", at positions 338 to 795 of the family's 1533-position model. The record is from RNAcentral.